GGCUCAUUAGUUUAGUGGUUAGAAUAGAUGGCUGUUAACCGUCUGACGGGAGUUCGAUUCUUCCAUGAGCCG
This 72-nucleotide transfer RNA is filed under the name Hepatospora eriocheir. It matches the Rfam family "tRNA". Rfam says of the family: Transfer RNA (tRNA) molecules are approximately 80 nucleotides in length. Their secondary structure includes four short double-helical elements and three loops (D, anti-codon, and T loops). Further hydrogen bonds mediate the characteristic L-shaped molecular structure. tRNAs have two regions of fundamental functional importance: the anti-codon, which is responsible for specific mRNA codon recognition, and the 3' end, to which the tRNAs corresponding amino acid is attached (by aminoacyl-tRNA synthetases). tRNAs cope with the degeneracy of the genetic code in two manners: having more than one tRNA (with a specific anti-codon) for a particular amino acid; and 'wobble' base-pairing, i.e. permitting non-standard base-pairing at the 3rd anti-codon position. The record is from Rfam by way of RNAcentral. Lineage: Eukaryota; Fungi; Microsporidia; Hepatosporidae.